GGUUAAGAUGCUAGGUUAGGUUAGACUUCGUUAGUUAAGUCAGGUUGGGUCAGAUUGUGUUAGGUUAGGUUGUUAGAUUGGGUUAGGUUAGGUUGUUAGAUUGGGUUAGGUUAGGUUGUUAGAUUGGGUUAGGUUAGGUUGUUAGAUUGGGUUAGGUUAGGUUGUUAGAUUGGGUUAGGUUAGGUUGUUAGAUUGGGUUAGGUUAGGUUGUUAGAUUGGGUUAGAUUGCAUUAGGUUAGGUUGUUAGAUUGGGUUAGAUUGCAUUAGGUUAGGUUGUUAGAUUGGGUUAGGUUAGGUUGUUAGAUUGGGUUAGGUUAGGUUGUUAGAUUGGGUUAGGUUAGGUUGUUACAUUGGGUUAGGUUAGGUUGUUAGAUUGGGUUAGGUUAGGUUGUUACAUUGUGUUAGGUUAGGUUGUUAGAUUGGGUUAGGUUAGGUUGUUAGAUUGGGUUAGGUUAGGUUGUUACAUUGGGUUAGGUUAGGUUUUAGGUUGGGUUAGAUUGCAUUGGGUUAGGUUGUUAGAUUGGUUAGAUUGUGUUAGGUUGUUAGAUUGUGUUAGGUUAGGUUAGAUUUCUGUCUCUUCUAUUUUGACUGAACUGGGGAUUUGUCUCUAUCACCGUGGCCGCCAAGUCUGAGGUGCACAUUAUCACGCUCUGGCCGCCUGCUGUAUUUACCAAGUUGUUGUUUUACAGGGCCUGGGCUUACGCUCGUCUGGUCCCGUCUCCAUAUCUGUACUCAUCUAGUUUUUCCUUAACCCGUCUGCUGCGAUUGGAACAAAUUAGGCUUUCACUGGUAGCCUGAUAACAUAUACUCCCAUGUCUUUCUCUGCCUCUGUGGUGGAUAGUGGAGUGUUUCCCAUGUGGUAUUGGUGUGCUGGAUAUCCCUUCACUGGUAGCCUGAUAACAUAUACUCCCAUGUCUUUCUCUGCCUCUGUGGUGGAUAGUGGAGUGUUUCCCAUGUGGUAUUGGUGUGCUGGAUAUCCCUUCACUGGUAGCCUGAUAACAUAUACUCCCAUGUCUUUCUCUGCCUCUGUGGUGGAUAGUGGAGUGUUUCCCAUGUGGUAUUGGUGUGCUGGAUAUCCCUUCACUGGUAGCCUGAUAACAUAUACUCCCAGGUCUUUCUCUGCCUCUGUGGUGGAUAGUGGAGUGUUUCCCAUGUGGUAUUGGUGUGCUGGAUAUCCCUUCACUGGUAGCCUGAUAACAUACACUCCCAGGUCUUUCUCUGCCUCUGUGGUGGAUAGUGGAGUGUUUCCCAUGUGGUAUUGGUGUGCUGGAUAUCCCUUCACUGGUAGCCUGGUAACAUACACUCCCAGGUCUUUCUCUGCCUCUGUGGUGGAUAGUGGAGUGUUUCCCAUGUGGUAUUGGUGUGCUGGAUAUCCCUUCACUGGUAGCCUGAUAACAUAAACUCCCAGGUCUUUCUCUGCCUCUGUGGUGGAUAGUGGAGUGUUUCCCAUGUGGUAUUGGUGUGCUGGAUAUCCCUUCACUGGUAGCCUGAUAACAUAUACUCCCAUGUCUUUCUCUGCCUCUGUGGUGGAUAGUGGAGUGUUUCCCAUGUGGUAUUGGUGUGCUGGAUAUCCCUUCACUGGUAGCCUGAUAACAUAUACUCCCAUGUCUUUCUCUGCCUCUGUGGUGGAUAGUGGAGUGUUUCCCAUGUGGUAUUGGUGUGCUGGAUAUCCCUUCACUGGUAGCCUGAUAACAUAUACUCCCAUGUCUUUCUCUGCCUCCGUGGUGGAUAGUGGAGUGUUUCCCAUGUGGUAUUGGUGUGCUGGAUAUCCCCUCCCAAGGUGCAGGACCACAUUUUUCUUCACUGAAUUGUAGCAGCCACUUUUUGAUCCAUUCCUGUAGCUUGGUGAGGUCUUCUUGUAGGAAAUCCGCAGUCAACAGGUUAAAGUUGUGCACACUCUUCGCUGAUACUACUUCCUCACUUAGUCUAUUCCAAAACUCUAUGCUUCUUUGUGGGGAGCCGCGGCAUGUCUGAGUUUGUGUAUCUCUCUUAUAGAACAGCUGUCAGUAGUGAUGGUGCAGCAGCAGCAAACUGGGGUGGGUAAAGGUAGAAGUGGGUGCAUGCGUUACAGCUGUGCGUUGCUGCGGUGCUCAUCCCCUAACCCUUGAUCCUUGAGCCUGUAGGGGCCGGGAAUCCACCACCCCGGGACACAGGUCAGUGUGAAAUCUAAGACUGCCACAGUUUACCUUCCUCAGGAGUCCCCAGGUAUGCAUUUAUCCACCAGCCACAGAGGGAGGAUGAACAGCUGGGUGACCUGCAAGCCGACAGCCCGGGCCGGGAUUCCAACCAAGGCCUGUGGAGUCAUAGCCAGGCACGCUGACCACUAGGCCACAGAGGCAUGCUGGGCCAGAUGCUUACUCCUAAAGGCUGGGUUGUUCACAGACCACUUCUUGAUAAGACUAGUGCCUUUAUUGGCUGUGGCAAGAUUAUUUCACUGUCCUUUGGCCUCUUGAGACACUGGUAGCCUCCUUGAGACGUGAAAACUGCAAGGCUUGGCAAUUAUCACACACGCUUAUUUCCUAAUCAUACAUGUAACACAAGGGUAUCAGGACACCCCUUCUCCUGAAAUUGACCUCUCUUUCGGCCACCUAUUUUGAUUCUUUUUAUAGGAGCAGCGAGUAGUGGGCUUUUUUUUAUUAUUGUUUCCUUUUUUUGUGCCCUUGAGCUGUCUCCUUUGUUUAAAAAAAAAAAAAAGGGCAUCACCAAACACAAUUUAAAACAACUUGCCUGCAACUUAGGAGCACAGCAGCCUGGUAAUAGAGAUAAUCACAAAGUAUAAACAGGCUUGACGCAACACACACUGGCUUCUGAGCAUGGCAGGGAAUGUACAGGGUGACCGCGGGACCCAAAAAAUGCCACCUCCAAGCUCCGAGGCAAACUAUUCUGUAUGUCUACGUCAACAACAGAAAUAAUGCCAUGAAUAAUAAUAAUAACAAUAGUAAUAAUUGUAAUAUAUGAUCUAGUCGUAACAAUUGGUACUAUGCAGGCAGCAAAUGAAUAUACUGUCAAUUGCGACGGACAGUUAAGUUUCACAUGCAUACCGUGGCAGACGCUGGUUUGUUAUGCUUUUCUCAGUGGAGGGCAGCACCACGGCUAUCUAAUAAUUAUAAUAAGCAGUCUAAUAUAUCAACAAAACAGGUGUGACAAAUGCAUGAACAGUGUUGAUAUAUGACUUAGAAUUGAGGGUAUUGGCAACUAUUGUCUGCAUAUUAAAUUCCGCCGCCAUGUUGCUUCUCUUUCUAUCUUCUAUCGAUAUUUUCACGCUGACUGCUCUUCUGAACUUGUUAACUGCAUGCCUUCCCCCUCCCAUGGCCCCGCUGCACACGACUUUCUACUCAUGCUCAUCCCUAUACUGUCCAAAUCCUUUAUGCAAGAGUUAACCAGUAUCUUCACUCUUUCAUCCCUAUACUGUCCAAAUCCCUUAUGCAAGAGUUAACUGGCAUCUUCACUCUUUCAUCCCUAUACUGUCCAAAUCCCUUAUGCAAGAGAUAUCCAGCAUCUUCACUCUUUCACCCCUAUACUGUCCAAAUCCCUUAUGCAAAAGUUAACCAGCAUCUUCACUCUUUCAUCCCUAUACUGUCCAAAUCCCUUAUGCAAGAGUUAACCAGCAUCUUCACUCUUUCAUCCCUAUACUGUCCAAAUCCCUCAUCCAAGAGAUAUCCAGCAUCUUCACUCUUUCAUCCCUAUACUGUCCAAAUCCCUUAUGCAAGAGUUAACCAGCAUCUUCACUCUUUCAUCCCUAUACUGUCCAAAUCCCUUAUGCAAGAGUUAACCAGCAUCUUCACUCUUUCAUCCCUAUACUGUUCAAACCCCUUAUGCAAGAGUUAAUCAGCAUCUUCACUCUUUCAUCCCUAUA
Eriocheir sinensis (Chinese mitten crab) is the source of this 3856-nucleotide long non-coding RNA. RefSeq lists it as uncharacterized. The record is from RefSeq and is a predicted model, not a curated record. The transcript is spliced from 3 exons. Lineage: Eukaryota; Metazoa; Arthropoda; Malacostraca; Decapoda; Varunidae.